RNAcentral lists this ribosomal RNA (480 nucleotides) under uncultured bacterium. RNAcentral's name for it is "partial 16S ribosomal RNA". It matches the Rfam family "Bacterial small subunit ribosomal RNA", at positions 28 to 506 of the family's 1533-position model. The record is from RNAcentral.
GAUGGACGCUGGCGGCGUGCCUAACACAUGCAAGUCGAACGGAGAUUACGGACGGAAGUUUUCGGAUGGAAGACUGUAAUUCUUAGUGGCGGACGGGUGAGUAACGCGUGGGCAACCUGCCCUAUACAGGGGGAUAGCAGCUGGAAACGGCUGGUAAGACCGCAUAAGUCGGUUAAAUCGCAUGAUUUGAUCGGGAAAUGAGCAAUCAGGUAUAGGAUGGGCCCGCGUCCGAUUAGCCAGUUGGCAGGGUAAAAGCCUACCAAAGCGACGAUCGGUAGCCGGACGGGGGGGUCGGCCGGCCAAAUGGGGACGGGGACACGGCCCAAACCCCGGGGGGGGGGGGGAGGGGGGGAAUUUUCACAAGGGGGGAAACUCUGAUGCAGCGGCGCCGGGGGAGGGAAAAAGUUUUUGGGUAUGAAAAGCUCUAUCAGCGGGGAAGUUGUGAACGGAACCUGACUAAAAAGCCCCGGCAACCUAGGG